This 440-nucleotide ribosomal RNA is filed under the name uncultured bacterium. RNAcentral's name for it is "partial 16S ribosomal RNA". It matches the Rfam family "Bacterial small subunit ribosomal RNA", at positions 338 to 795 of the family's 1533-position model. The record is from RNAcentral.
CCUACGGGGGGCUGCAGUGGGGGAUAUUGCACAAUGGGGGAAACCCUGAUGCAGCGACGCAGCGUGUGGGAAGACGGUCCUCUGGAUUGUAAACCACUGUCCCCAGGGACGAAGAUGACGGUACCUGGGGUGGAAGCUCCGGCUAACUACUUGACAGCAGCCGCGGUAAUACGCAGGGCGCGGGCGUUGUCCGGAAUUACUGGGUGUAAAGGGAGCGUAGGCGGUGAUGUAAGUUGGGUGUCAAAACUACCGGCUCAACUGGUAGUCGCACUCAAAACUGCAGCUCUUGAGUGAAGUAGAGGCAGGCGGAAUUCCUAGUGUAGCGGUGAAAUGCGUAGAUAUUAGGAGGAACACCAGUGGCGAAGGCGGCCUGCUGGGCUUUUACUGACGCUGAGGCUCGAAAGUGUGGGUAGCAAACAGGAUUAGAUACCCGGGUAGUC